GGGAAUCUGCCUUUGGGUUCGGAAUAACAGUUAGAAAUGACUGCUAAUACCGGAUGAUGUCUUCGGACCAAAGAUUUAUCGCCCAGGGAUGAGCCCGCGUAGGAUUAGGUAGUUGGUGGGGUAAGAGCCUACCAAGCCGACGAUCCUUAGCUGGUCUGAGAGGAUGAUCAGCCACACUGGGACUGAGACACGGCCCAGACUCCUACGGGAGGCAGCAGUGGGGAAUAUUGGACAAUGGGCGAAAGCCUGAUCCAGCAAUGCCGCGUGAGUGAUGAAGGCCUUAGGGUUGUAAAGCUCUUUUACCCGGGAUGAUAAUGACAGUACCGGGAGAAUAAGCUCCGGCUAACUUCGUGCCAGCAGCCGCGGUAAUACGAGGGGAGCUAGCGUUAUUCGGAAUUACUGGGCGUAAAGCGCACGUAGGCGGCUUUGUAAGUAAGGGGUGAAAGCCCAGAGCUCAACUCUGGAAUAGCCUUUUAGACUGCAUCGCUUGAAUCCAGGAGAGGUGAGUGGAAUUCCGAGU
RNAcentral lists this ribosomal RNA (520 nucleotides) under uncultured bacterium. Its description in RNAcentral is "bacterial SSU rRNA". It matches the Rfam family "Bacterial small subunit ribosomal RNA", at positions 120 to 674 of the family's 1533-position model. The record is from RNAcentral.